GAACGCUAGCUACAGGCUUAACACAUGCAAGUCGAGGGGCAGCAUGAUCGAAGCUUGCUUUGAUUGAUGGCGACCGGCGCACGGGUGAGUAACGCGUAUCCAACCUUCCCUAUAGUAGAGAAUAGCCCGGCGAAAGUCGGAUUAAUGCUCUAUGUUGUAUUUAGARGACAUCUGAAGAAUACCAAAGGUUUACCGCUAUAGGAUGGGGAUGCGUCUGAUUAGGUAGUAGGCGGGGUAACGGCCCACCUAGCCGACGAUCAGUAGGGGUUCUGAGAGGAAGGUCCCCCACAUUGGAACUGAGACACGGUCCAAACUCCUACGGGAGGCAGCAGUGAGGAAUAUUGGUCAAUGGACGGAAGUCUGAACCAGCCAAGUAGCGUGCAGGAUGACGGCCCUAUGGGUUGUAAACUGCUUUUAUAUAGGGAUAAAGUCGGGGACGUGUCCCCGUUGUAGUACU
RNAcentral lists this ribosomal RNA (457 nucleotides) under bacterium AB3010. Its description in RNAcentral is "bacterial SSU rRNA". It matches the Rfam family "Bacterial small subunit ribosomal RNA", at positions 31 to 479 of the family's 1533-position model. The record is from RNAcentral.